AGCAGUAGCCACGGGAAUACGGAGGGUGCAAGCGUUAAUCGGAAUUACUGGGCGUAAAGCGCACGCAGGCGGUUUGUUAAGUCAGAUGUGAAAUCCCCGAGCUUAACUUGGGAACUGCAUUUGAAACUGGCAAGCUAGAGUCUUGUAGAGGGGGGUAGAAUUCCAGGUGUAGCGGUGAAAUGCGUAGAGAUCUGGAGGAAUACCGGUGGCGAAGGCGGCCCCCUGGACAAAGACUGACGCUCAGGUGCGAAAGCGUGGGGAGCAAACAGGAUUAGAUACCCCGGUAGUCCCUGUCUCUUAUAC
This 303-nucleotide ribosomal RNA is filed under the name uncultured bacterium. RNAcentral's name for it is "partial 16S ribosomal RNA". It matches the Rfam family "Bacterial small subunit ribosomal RNA", at positions 507 to 807 of the family's 1533-position model. The record is from RNAcentral.